RNAcentral lists this ribosomal RNA (744 nucleotides) under uncultured bacterium. Its description in RNAcentral is "bacterial SSU rRNA". It matches the Rfam family "Bacterial small subunit ribosomal RNA", at positions 10 to 756 of the family's 1533-position model. The record is from RNAcentral.
AGUUUGAUCCUGGCUCAGGAUGAACGCUGGCGGCGUGCUUAACACAUGCAAGUCAAGGGGGCCUGAGGCGCAAGCCUUGGGCAACCGGCGAACGGGUGCGUAACACGUGAGCAACCUACCGAAAUGAGGGGGAUAGCCGGCCCAACGGCCGGGUAAUACCGCAUACGCUCGAGACCAGGCAUUUGGACUCGAGGAAAUUUACGGAGCAUUUCGAGGGGCUCGCGGCCUAUCAGCUAGUUGGUGAGGUAACGGCUCACCAAGGCGACGACGGGUAGCUGGUCUGAGAGGAUGGCCAGCCACAUUGGGACUGAGAUACGGCCCAGACUCCUACGGGAGGCAGCAGUGGGGAAUCUUGCGCAAUGGCCUAACGGCUGACGCAGCGACGCCGCGUGAGGGAUGACGCUCUUCGGAGUGUAAACCUCUUUUGUCUGAGACGAACUGUCAGCUUUAGCUGAUUUGACGGUAUCGGGCGAAUAAGCACCGGCUAACUCCGUGCCAGCAGCCGCGGUAAUACGGGGGGUGCGAGCGUUGUCCGGAAUCACUGGGCGUAAAGGGCGCGUAGGUGGUCUUAUAAGGGUGUGGUGAAAGCCCGGGGCUCAACCCCGGGUCGGCCGUGCCGACUGUGAGACUAGAGUGCUGUAGGGGCAGGCGGAAUUCCGGGUGUAGCGGUGGAAUGCGUAGAGAUCCGGAGGAAGACCGGUGGCGAAGGCGGCCUGCUGGGCAGAUACUGACACUGAGGCGCGA